Molecule: ribosomal RNA, 486 nt
Filed under: uncultured bacterium
Lineage: Bacteria
Description: bacterial SSU rRNA
Rfam family: Bacterial small subunit ribosomal RNA
Source: RNAcentral
AAGUCGAGCGAGAAAAGGGGGGCAACUCCCUGAGUACAGCGGCGCACGGGUGAGUAACACGUGGGUAAUCUGCCCUGAAGUGGGGAAUAACACCGGGAAACCGGUGCUAAUACCGCAUACGAUCACGGAGUCUGCGGAUUUUGUGAUGAAAGGAGCAAUUCGCUUUAGGAGGAGCCCGCGGCUGAUUAGCUAGUUGGUGAGGUAAUGGCUCACCAAGGCUACGAUCAGUAUCCGGUCUGAGAGGACGGUCGGACACACUGGAACUGAGACACGGUCCAGACUCCUACGGGAGGCAGCAGUGGGGAAUUUUUCGCAAUGGGGGCAACCCUGACGAAGCAACGCCGCGUGGGUGAUGAAGUCUCUUGGGACGUAAAACCCUUUCGACGGGGAAGAAACCGUAAGGUUGACGGUACCCGUAUAAGAAGCCCCGGCUAACUCCGUGCCAGCAGCCGCGGUAAUACGGGGGGGGCAAGCGUUGUUCGGAAU